This 491-nucleotide ribosomal RNA is filed under the name uncultured bacterium. RNAcentral's name for it is "partial 16S ribosomal RNA". It matches the Rfam family "Bacterial small subunit ribosomal RNA", at positions 28 to 507 of the family's 1533-position model. The record is from RNAcentral.
GAUGAACGCUAGCUACAGGCUUAACACAUGCAAGUCGCGGGGCAGCAUGGGGGUUGCUUGCAACCCCUGAUGGCGACCGGCGCACGGGUGAGUAACGCGUAUCCAACCUGCCCUUCACCACGGGAUAACCCGGCGAAAGUCGGACUAAUACCGAAAGGUGUCCAUUGACGGCAUCCGAUUUGGACGAACGGCGCGGCGGUGAAAGGAUGGGGGUGCGUUCGAUUAGCUUGAGGGCGGAGGAACGGCCCACCGUGGCUACGAUAGCUAGCGGAUCUGAGAGGAAGGUACCCUACACUUGAACUGCGACACGGUCCAGAAUGCUACGGGAGGGAGCAGUGUGUAAUAUUGGUCAAUGAGCGUAAGCCUGAACAAGCCAAGUAGGGUGCAGGAUGCCGGCGCUAGGGGUUGUAAUCUGCUUUUAUGGGGGGAUAAAGUGGCACACGUGUGGGCUUUUGCAGGUACCGAAUGAAUAAGGACCGGCUAAUUCCGUG